This 388-nucleotide ribosomal RNA is filed under the name uncultured bacterium. RNAcentral describes it as "bacterial SSU rRNA". It matches the Rfam family "Bacterial small subunit ribosomal RNA", at positions 1003 to 1395 of the family's 1533-position model. The record is from RNAcentral.
AAGAUGCGGGAGUGCCCGAAAGGGAAUUGGAACACAGGUGCUGCAUGGCUGUCGUCAGCUCGUGUCGUGAGAUGUUGGGUUAAGUCCCGCAACGAGCGCAACCCUUAUCAUUAGUUGCUACGCAAGGGCACUCUAAUGAGACUGCCGGUGACAAACCGGAGGAAGGUGGGGAUGACGUCAAGUCCUCAUGGCCCUUAUGGGUAGGGCUUCACACGUCAUACAAUGGUCGGUACAGAGGGUUGCCAAGCCGCGAGGUGGAGCCAAUCCCAGAAAGCCGAUCGUAGUCCGGAUUGUUCUCUGCAACUCGAGAGCAUGAAGUCGGAAUCGCUAGUAAUCGCGGAUCAGCAUGUCGCGGUGAAUACGUUCCCGGGCCUUGUACACACCGAAA